GAUGAACGCUGGCGGCGUGCCUAAUACAUGCAAGUCGAGCGAACGGACGAGAAGCUUGCUUCUCUGAUGUUAGCGGCGGACGGGUGAGUAACACGUGGAUAACCUACCUAUAAGACUGGGAUAACUUCGGGAAACCGGAGCUAAUACCGGAUAAUAUUUUGAACCGCAUGGUUCAAAAGUGAAAGACGGUCUUGCUGUCACUUAUAGAUGGAUCCGCGCUGCAUUAGCUAGUUGGUAAGGUAACGGCUUACCAAGGCAACGAUGCAUAGCCGACCUGAGGGGGUGAUCGGCCACACUGGAACUGAGACACGGUCCAGACUCCUACGGGAGGCAGCAGUAGGGAAUCUUCCGCAAUGGGCGAAAGCCUGACGGAGCAACGCCGCGUGAGUGAUGAAGGUCUUCGGAUCGUAAAACUCUGUUAUUAGGGAAGAACAUAUGUGUAAGUAACUGUGCACAUCUUGACGGUACCUAAUCAGAAAGCCACGGCUAACUACGUGCCAGCAGCCGCGGUAAUACGUAGGUGGCAAGCGUUAUCCGGAAUUAUUGGGCGUAAAGCGCGCGUAGGCGGUUUUUUAAGUCUGAUGUGAAAGCCCACGGCUCAACCGUGGAGGGUCAUUGGAAACUGGAAAACUUGAGUGCAGAAGAGGAAAGUGGAAUUCCAUGUGUAGCGGUGAAAUGCGCAGAGAUAUGGAGGAACACCAGUGGCGAAGGCGACUUUCUGGUCUGUAACUGACGCUGAUGUGCGAAAGCGUGGGGAUCAAACAGGAUUAGAUACCCUGGUAGUCCACGCCGUAAACGAUGAGUGCUAAGUGUUAGGGGGUUUCCGCCCCUUAGUGCUGCAGCUAACGCAUUAAGCACUCCGCCUGGGGAGUACGACCGCAAGGUUGAAACUCAAAGGAAUUGACGGGGACCCGCACAAGCGGUGGAGCAUGUGGUUUAAUUCGAAGCAACGCGAAGAACCUUACCAAAUCUUGACAUCCUUUGACGACUCUAGAGAUAGAGCUUUCCCCUUCGGGGGACAAAGUGACAGGUGGUGCAUGGUUGUCGUCAGCUCGUGUCGUGAGAUGUUGGGUUAAGUCCCGCAACGAGCGCAACCCUUAAGCUUAGUUGCCAUCAUUAAGUUGGGCACUCUAAGUUGACUGCCGGUGACAAACCGGAGGAAGGUGGGGAUGACGUCAAAUCAUCAUGCCCCUUAUGAUUUGGGCUACACACGUGCUACAAUGGACAAUACAAAGGGCAGCGAAACCGCGAGGUCAAGCAAAUCCCAUAAAGUUGUUCUCAGUUCGGAUUGUAGUCUGCAACUCGACUACAUGAAGCUGGAAUCGCUAGUAAUCGUAGAUCAGCAUGCUACGGUGAAUACGUUCCCGGGUCU
RNAcentral lists this ribosomal RNA (1372 nucleotides) under uncultured bacterium. RNAcentral describes it as "bacterial SSU rRNA". It matches the Rfam family "Bacterial small subunit ribosomal RNA", at positions 28 to 1381 of the family's 1533-position model. The record is from RNAcentral.